CCUAACACAUGCAAGUCGAGCGGUAACAUAUAGGUGCUUGCACCUUAGCAGACGAGCCGCACAGGUGAGAAUUGCGCGUGAAAACGCGCUGUGGUGUGGGACACCACUUUUAAACAACACUGCUAAUACCGCAUAAUGUCUACAGACCAAAGGGGGCUUCGGCUCUCGCCUUUAGAUUGGCCCAAGUGGGAUUAUCUAUUUGGUGAGGUAAUGGCUCACCAAGGCGACUAUCCCUAUCUGGUUUGAGAGGAUGAUCACCCACACUGGGACUGAGACACGGCCCACACUCCUACGGGAGGCAACAGUGGGGAAUAUUGCACAAUGGGCGAAAGCCUGAUGCACCCAUGCCGCGUGUGAGAAAAAGGCCUUCGGUUUGUAAAGCACUUUCACUCAGGAAGAAAGGUUAAUAGUUAAUACCUGCUAUCUGUGACUAUACUGACAAAAAAAGCCCCCGCUAACUCCGUGCCAACACCCGCGGUAAUAGUAAUACGGAGGGUGCGAGCGUUAAUCGGAAUUACUGGGCGUAUAGCGCAUACGCGCGCUUUGUGUUACCAGAUAUGAAAACCCCCGGCUCUCCCUGUGAACUGCGCUUUUAAAACUGACAAACUAGAGUGUGAUAGAGGGU
Molecule: ribosomal RNA, 625 nt
Filed under: Pseudoalteromonas sp.
Lineage: Bacteria; Pseudomonadati; Pseudomonadota; Gammaproteobacteria; Alteromonadales; Pseudoalteromonadaceae
Description: bacterial SSU rRNA
Rfam family: Bacterial small subunit ribosomal RNA
Source: RNAcentral